This 593-nucleotide small RNA is filed under the name Pongo abelii (Sumatran orangutan). Its description in RNAcentral is "processed transcript". Lineage: Eukaryota; Metazoa; Chordata; Mammalia; Primates; Hominidae. The record is from RNAcentral.
AACGCUAACGGCGGUCGUGCCCCGCCGCUGCUGUCACCCCUGGCCGCUGCUGUCCCCGCCUCUCCCCCGGCCCCGCCAGCCACCUACGUUCUACUGCUCUCCUUCUUGAGAAGAAGGGUGGGAAGCACUGGAUCUCUCCCCACACCUCUCGCCUGAGGCCAGGCGCCAGGUGUCGCCUGAAGCCAGACAGCCGGUUUGGGAGCGAGCCUGAGGUCAACCGAUCAAUGGCUCAGACAGAUAAGCCAACAUGCGUCCCGCCGGAGCUGCCGAAAAUGCUGAAGGAGUUUGCCAAAGCCGCCAUUCGGGCGCAGCCGCAGGACCUCAUCCAGUGGGGGGCCGAGAGAGACCUCCAGAGGCUGCUCAGUAGAUGGAGCUUACACAACAAUCGCUGCGGGCCUGCAUUGAAGUAGCUUUGCACAGAAAACCUCUCAGCUAUGAAAUUGCUCCUUGGACAAACUUGCCUGCUUGAAACUGGGGAACCAGGACUUGAGACAGGAGUUGGAAGAUAACUAGACCUCACGGACCAUUUUCAGGCAUUUUUACUGUUUGAUGAUUCCCUGCUUAGGAGGGUUUCAGUGGGAAAGUGAGAGUGA